This 233-nucleotide ribosomal RNA is filed under the name Pestalotiopsis scirpina. RNAcentral describes it as "partial 18S ribosomal RNA". It matches the Rfam family "Eukaryotic small subunit ribosomal RNA", at positions 1601 to 1831 of the family's 1831-position model. The record is from RNAcentral. Lineage: Eukaryota; Fungi; Ascomycota; Sordariomycetes; Amphisphaeriales; Sporocadaceae.
CAACGAGGAAUCCCUAGUAAGCGCAAGUCAUCAGCUUGCGUUGAUUACGUCCCUGCCCUUUGUACACACCGCCCGUCGCUACUACCGAUUGAAUGGCUCAGUGAGGCUUCCGGACUGGCCCAGGGAGGUCGGCAACGACCACCCAGGGCCGGAAAGUUAUCCAAACUCGGUCAUUUAGAGGAAGUAAAAGUCGUAACAAGGUCUCCGUUGGUGAACCAGCGGAGGGAUCAUUA